GCCCGCUUGGCUCAGUGGUAGAGCGCAUCACUAGUAAUCACAUCGAGAAGCCAGGUUAAUGAUGAGGUCAUCAGUUCGAUUCUGAUAGUGGGCA
This is a non-coding RNA of Echria macrotheca, 94 nucleotides long. The record is from the annotation of a GenBank genome assembly. Lineage: Eukaryota; Fungi; Ascomycota; Sordariomycetes; Sordariales; Schizotheciaceae.